RNAcentral lists this ribosomal RNA (390 nucleotides) under uncultured Methanosaeta sp. RNAcentral's name for it is "bacterial SSU rRNA". It matches the Rfam family "Archaeal small subunit ribosomal RNA", at positions 949 to 1338 of the family's 1478-position model. The record is from RNAcentral. Lineage: Archaea; Methanobacteriati; Methanobacteriota; Methanomicrobia; Methanotrichales; Methanotrichaceae.
GAAGGCCAGGCUGAAGACUUUGCCGGAUUAGCUGAGAGGUGGUGCAUGGCCGUCGUCAGUUCGUACUGUGAAGCAUCCUGUUAAGUCAGGCAACGAGCGAGACCCACGCCCACAGUUGCCAGCGUACUCUCCGGAGUGACGGGUACACUGUGGGGACCGCCGCUGCUAAAGCGGAGGAAGGAAUGGGCAACGGUAGGUCAGUAUGCCCCGAAUAUCCCGGGCUACACGCGAGCUACAAUGGUUGGUACAAUGGGUAUCUACCCCGAAAGGGGAUGGAAAUCUCCUAAAGCCAAUCUUAGUCCGGAUUGAGGGCUGCAACUCGCCCUCAUGAAGCUGGAAUCCGUAGUAAUCGCGUUUCAACAGAACGCGGUGAAUACGUCCCUGCUCCUU